AACGCGAAGAACCUUACCAGGUCUUGACAUCCCAUUGACCGUUCUAGAAAUAGGAUUUUCCCUUCGGGGACAAAGGAUACAGGUGGUGCAUGGUUGUCCUCAUCUUGUGUUGUGAGAUGUUGGGUUAAGUCCCGCAAAGAGCACCCCCCCUGUUUUUAGUUGCCAGCAUUAAGUUGGGGACUCUAAGGAGACUGCCGGUGACAAACCGGAGGAAGGUGGGGAUGACGUCAAAUCAUCAUGCCCCUUAUGACCUGGGCUACACACGUGCUACAAUGGGUGGUACAAAGGGAAGCGAAGCCGUGAGGUGGAGCAAAUCUCAUAAAGCCAAUCUCAGUUCGGAUUGUAGGCUGCAACUCGCCUACAUGAAGUUGGAAUCGCUAGUAAUCGCGAAUCAGAAUGUCGCGGAAAAUACUUUCCCGGGUCUUCUACACACCG
This 435-nucleotide ribosomal RNA is filed under the name uncultured bacterium. Its description in RNAcentral is "bacterial SSU rRNA". It matches the Rfam family "Bacterial small subunit ribosomal RNA", at positions 958 to 1392 of the family's 1533-position model. The record is from RNAcentral.